AACGAACGCUGGCGGCAUGCCUAACACAUGCAAGUCGAACGAGACCUUCGGGUCCAGUGGCGCACGGGUGCGUAACGCGUGGGAACCUGCCCUUAGGGUCGGAAUAACUCCCUGAAAGGGGUGCUAAUACCGGAUAAUGUCUUCGGACCAAAGAUUUAUCGCCUUUGGGUGGGCCCGCGUUGUAGUAGCUUGUUGGUAGGGUAAAAGCCUACCAAGGCGACGAUCCAUAGCUGGUCUGAGAGGGUGAUCAGACACACUGGGAGUGAGACACGGCCCAGACUCCUGCGGGAGGGAGCAGUGGAGAAUAUUGGACAAUGGGCGAACGCCUGAUCCAGCAAUGCCGCGUGAGUAAUGAAGGCCUUAGGGUUGUAAAGCUCUUUUACCCGAGAUGAUAAUGACGGUACCGGGAGAAUAAGCUCCGGCUAACUCCGUG
RNAcentral lists this ribosomal RNA (433 nucleotides) under uncultured bacterium. RNAcentral describes it as "partial 16S ribosomal RNA". It matches the Rfam family "Bacterial small subunit ribosomal RNA", at positions 29 to 507 of the family's 1533-position model. The record is from RNAcentral.